UAGGGAAUCUUCGGCAAUGGGGGGAACCCUGACCGAGCAACGCCGCGUGAGUGAAGAAGGUUUUCGGAUCGUAAAGCUCUGUUGUUAAGGAAGAACGAGUGUGAGAAUGGAAAGUUCAUGCUGUGACGGUACUUAACCAGAAAGGGACGGCUAACUACGUGCCAGCAGCCGCGGUAAUACGUAGGUCCCGAGCGUUGUCCGGAUUUAUUGGGCGUAAAGCGAGCGCAGGCGGUUAGAAAAGUCUGAAGUGAAAGGCAGUGGCUCAACCAUUGUAGGCUUUGGAAACUGUUUAACUUGAGUGCAGAAGGGGAGAGUAGAAUUCCAUGUGUAACGGUGAAAUGCGUAGAUAUAUGGAGGAACACCGGUGGCGAAAGCGGCUCUCUGGUCUGUAACUGACGCUGAGGCUCGAAAGCGUGGGGAGCGAACAGG
This 429-nucleotide ribosomal RNA is filed under the name Bacteroidota bacterium. RNAcentral describes it as "Bacteroidetes bacterium partial 16S ribosomal RNA". It matches the Rfam family "Bacterial small subunit ribosomal RNA", at positions 355 to 776 of the family's 1533-position model. Lineage: Bacteria; Pseudomonadati; Bacteroidota. The record is from RNAcentral.